Molecule: long non-coding RNA, 2521 nt
Organism: Suricata suricatta (meerkat)
Lineage: Eukaryota; Metazoa; Chordata; Mammalia; Carnivora; Herpestidae
Source: Ensembl
AUGUUUAUAUGUUGGGGAAACUCACUGACAGUGGGCCUACUUGAUGGGGAUAUAGUCAGCGGAAUCGAAGAGCCGGACGGAACGGCCCACCCGGAGACAGGAAGGACUGACCUGUCCUCAGUCUGCACGUUUGCAUCAUCUCCCUUCCCUGCGGGGCUGUCCUGUAGUCACCGUUCAACCCUCCUCAUUAGCCCACUGUUUCUUCUCAAAGCAUUAGGGCUCGUGCCUCUUAAUUCUCUACCCCAAUCAACACCACUAUCCCUGGCCAUUGGCAGACCCCGUGGGGGACCUGUGAACUCUGUCAUAUCCUGGAUGGUCAGUAGCUGGCGGACACUGAGGGAUGCCCUCAAGGAUAAAGUCUGAGACGCUGCGUGUGUUCUGACAGUUCUGGUGAUGACAUGGGCUCUGAGACACGGCUUCUAGAAGAGGAAGGAGGACCGCUCGGGCUGGUCAUGAGAGGGCCUGAGAAGAUGCUCAGGGUCCCCUGCGAGGAAGGCGGGUCCUGUUCAGGAAGGUCUGGAGGCUGAGCCGCAAGAGGUGGAACGGAGACCAGCCUUUCAAAUGGUCUUGACCUGACUUGAUGGUCAUUCACUCUUUUCCGAAUGGAAGUGGAGGGGAGCUGUCCCCACCGAGGGCGGGCUGGGACUCGAACUGACAGGGGAUUCGCUCUUGACUGCCGAGCCAAGGGGUCUCCAGUGCUGAGUUAAAUGACCUCUCUAAGGGGCGAGGAAGUUCUGGAGAGAAAAGUUUCUUUGCUGAGCUGAAUGCGCCUUCUCUGGAAACCAAAGAUAAAUGAUGCAAACCCUUGCUUCCUGGUGAGAAGCUGCUCUUUGCUGAGGCCCUAACACCCCCCUCUGCCGCUUUAGGAACAAACCCGGAUGGAUGAACCCCUGACUCGCGGGUGUGGGGACACCGGGGUGGCUCAAGAUUUCAAGAUUGCGGCUCUGGCUGAGAGACCCCACGGCAUGCUGAGGGCCAGGCACAAGCGAGCACCUCCCCACCCUGUGGGAUAUGUGGUGUUCGUCAGGCACUCCUGGCUGCCCAGGGACAAAAGAAAAGAAAGAAAACAAACGGCUAACUGGUAGGGAUCACAGUCAUGCAGGACACGGAGUCUCCAUCAGUUUACAAAUACCCUGUAAAUUACAAGACAACGGUGAUCUCAUCUCCUGAAGCCUGUGGACUCCGUUCCCUGGAUCUCCAGUAUCACUGUCCCCUCCAGAGUGAUGUGGGAACACAGGCAAGAAGGAAAUGGCAGUUAAAAUUAAGUUUCCUCAACACCCGCAGCCCAUGGACAGGCUCCUGAGGCAAAUACCCAGUGGAACAUUUCUCCAGGAACCUCCUCUCGUCCUGAGGUGGACGCCCGGCUAGUAGCUUGGCAACGGCGUGGCCUCCAGGAUCUUAGGGUCCUCUUCGCACAUCAGAGUCCCUCGGGAGGCCUCCCUUUUGGCUCUACCUCCCCAAGUCCAUAUUCUUUUUUUUUUUUUGAAAUUUUAUUUAUUUAUUUUUUACUUUAUAAAGUUUCAUAUUUUUUAACAUAUGCAAUUAUUUUCCAUCAUUUACAAUACAGUAGUUACAAUGACACUCCAAACAGAAAAGCAAAGUAAAAAAUUAAAACACCAACUUCUGUUUCAUGUAAUUAGACUUAUACAGAAAUUGGAAGGUUAAGUAACAACUAGUUAAUCACCUAAUUUCACAGCUAUCUGAAGUGGCAAUCGUUAUAUAGCAGCUUAUCUAUGAUACAUUCAAGAUAAAUAAUACAAUUUAUUACUUGUUCAUAAGCAAGUCCAUAUUCUAAUAUGAGCCAGUCUGCCCAACCCCAGGCCAACUCUUCCCGGCCCGGCCGCGGGGCCUGUCCCUGUGCUUUAAUAAAACCACCUUUUUGCCCCAAAGACGGUCUUCAAGAAUUCUUUCUUGGUCGUCAGCUCCAGACCACCUCCUUCCCCCCAAAACCUCAUCAAGGUCAUGGUCUCGUGGUUUGUGAAUUCAAUCCUGCAUCAGGCUCUGCCCCUGCCCUGCUCCCACUCGCUCUGCCUCAAAAUAAAUAACUAAAACAUUAAACGUUAGUGAAUGAGAACGCCUUGGUCCCUGUCCUCAUGUUGGAGGUGGUUUCGGGGAGCAGCUUCUGAAUCAGCUGGGGAGUUCUCGGGACAUUCACGAAGAAAGAACGGUAACAAAUACCAGCUCACUUAAGAAACAGGUAAGUAGAGAGGUGCCCGGGUGGCUCAGUCAGUUAAGCGUCCAGCUUCGGCUCAGGUCUUGAUCUCACAGUUUGUGGAUUCAAGCCCCACGUUGGGCUUUGUGCUGACAGCUCAGAGCCUGGAGCUGCUUCGGAUCCUGUGUCUCCCUCUCGGCCCCUCCCCCUGCUCACGCUCUGUCUCAUUCUCUCUCAGUAAAUAUAUAAAAAAGAAAUAAGUAACUAGAAUAGUACUUCCAUGCAGGAGCAAUUUUACUUCUACCCUUCUAGCUUCCGUGGCUGGCCAGUUACAAUGACAUCAAACUGGUUAGGAGGAGAAAAGUCUGG